UGGGGAGUACGGCCGCAAGGCUAAAACUCAAAGGAAUUGACGGGGGGCCCCGCACAAGCGGCGGAGCAUGUGGAUUAAUUCGAUGCAACGCGAAGAACCUUACCUGGGUUUGACAUAUACCGGAAAGCCGUAGAGAUACGGCCCCCCUUGUGGUCGGUAUACAGGUGGUGCAUGGCUGUCGUCAGCUCGUGUCGUGAGAUGUUGGGUUAAGUCCCGCAACGAGCGCAACCCUUGUCCUGUGUUGCCAGCGCGUAAUGGCGGGGACUCGCAGGAGACUGCCGGGGUCAACUCGGAGGAAGGUGGGGACGACGUCAAGUCAUCAUGCCCCUUAUGUCCAGGGCUUCACACAUGCUACAAUGGCCGGUACAGAGGGCUGCGAUACCGUGAGGUGGAGCGAAUCCCUUAAAGCCGGUCUCAGUUCGGAUCGGGGUCUGCAACUCGACCCCGUGAAGUCGGAGUCGCUAGUAAUCGCAGAUCAGCAACGSUGCGGUGAAUACGUUCCCGGGCCUUGUACACAC
Molecule: ribosomal RNA, 518 nt
Filed under: Rhodococcus (subgen. Prescottella) equi
Lineage: Bacteria; Bacillati; Actinomycetota; Actinomycetes; Mycobacteriales; Nocardiaceae
Description: Prescottella equi bacterial SSU rRNA
Source: RNAcentral